RNAcentral lists this long non-coding RNA (501 nucleotides) under Physcomitrium patens. Its description in RNAcentral is "long non-coding RNA (PPAT_LNC014203)". Lineage: Eukaryota; Viridiplantae; Streptophyta; Bryopsida; Funariales; Funariaceae. The record is from RNAcentral.
GAAUAAUAAAAAAGAGAGAUAUUGGCUCUGAGAGAUUGGCAUCAAGGUUGGAGAAGGAGGCCGACCAAUACCCAAACACGUUUUUGAAGUUAUCAUCUAUUUGGUAAUUCCGAUCCCUUUCAAAAAUUGUAUGCUUGUUUUCAACUUAGUUUUUAAGACAUGUGUAAAAUUUGAGUUAAGAUCGACGGUCAUUCAUUAGUUAUUGAGAUUUAAAUCUAUUCUGGAAAUUAGUAGGAUUUGGUUAGGAUUUGGUUUAGGAUUUAGGGUUUGGUUUAUGGUUUAGAGGUUGGUUAAGGUUUUAUUUAGGGUUUAGGGUUUUUUUUAGGAUUUGGUUUAGAAUUUGGUUAGGGUUUGGUUUAGGAUUUAUUUAGGGUUUGAUUUAGAAUUUAGGAUUUAGUUAGGAUUUCAUUUCGGAUUUAGGAUUUGGUUUAGGAUUUGGUUAGGAUUUAGUUUAGGGUUUAGGAAUUUAUUAAGGUUUAUUUAGGAUUUAAGUUUUAAUUA